GUGGGUGUAGCUCAGCUGGUAGAGCACCUGGUUGUGGUCCAGGAAGUCGCGGGUUCGAGUCCCGUCACUCACCCCA
This 76-nucleotide transfer RNA is filed under the name Microlunatus phosphovorus NM-1. Its description in RNAcentral is "tRNA-His (GTG) (tRNA-His-GTG-1-1)". It matches the Rfam family "tRNA". Rfam says of the family: Transfer RNA (tRNA) molecules are approximately 80 nucleotides in length. Their secondary structure includes four short double-helical elements and three loops (D, anti-codon, and T loops). RNAcentral also lists the same sequence under 14 other names. The record is from RNAcentral. Lineage: Bacteria; Bacillati; Actinomycetota; Actinomycetes; Propionibacteriales; Propionibacteriaceae.